UGGGGGAACCCUGAUGCAGCCAUGCCGCGUGUAUGAAGAAGGCCUUCGGGUUGUAAAGUACUUUCAGUUGUGAGGAAGGCGUAUGCGUUAAUAGCGUAUGUGUUUGACGUUAGCAACAGAAGAAGCACCGGCUAACUCCGUGCCAGCAGCCGCGGUAAUACGGAGGGUGCGAGCGUUAAUCGGAAUUACUGGGCGUAAAGCGCAUGCAGGCGGCUUGUUAAGCCAGAUGUGAAAGCCCGGGGCUCAACCUCGGAAUAGCAUUUGGAACUGGCAGGCUAGAGUCUUGUAGAGGGGGGUAGAAUUUCAGGUGUAGCGGUGAAAUGCGUAGAGAUCUGAAGGAAUACCGGUGGCGAAGGCGGCCCCCUGGACAAAGACUGACGCUCAGAUGCGAAAGCGUGGGGAGCAAACAGGAUUAGAUACCCUGGUAGUCCACGCCGUAAACGAUGUCUACUUGGAGGCUGGAACCUUGAGUUCUGGCUUUCGGAGCUAACGCGUUAAGUAGACCGCCUGGGGAGUACGGUCGCAAGAUUAAAACUCAAAUGAAUUGACGGGGGCCCGCACAAGCGGUGGAGCAUGUGGUUUAAUUCGAUGCAACGCGAAGAACCUUACCUACUCUUGACAUCCAGAGAACUUUCCAGAGAUGGAUUGGUGCCUUCGGGAACUCUGAGACAGGUGCUGCAUGGCUGUCGUCAGCUCGUGUUGUGAAAUGUUGGGGUUAAGUCCCGCAACGAGCGCAACCCCUAUCCUUGUUUGCCAGCACGUAAUGGUGGGAACUCCAGGGAGACUGCCGGUGAUAAACCGGAGGAAGGUGGGGGACGACGUCAAGUCAUCAUGGCCCUUA
RNAcentral lists this ribosomal RNA (841 nucleotides) under uncultured Photobacterium sp. RNAcentral's name for it is "bacterial SSU rRNA". It matches the Rfam family "Bacterial small subunit ribosomal RNA", at positions 372 to 1204 of the family's 1533-position model. The record is from RNAcentral. Lineage: Bacteria; Pseudomonadati; Pseudomonadota; Gammaproteobacteria; Vibrionales; Vibrionaceae.